AGUGAACGCUGGCGGUAGGCCUAACACAUGCAAGUCGAACGGCAGCACAGUAAGAGCUUGCUCUUACGGGUGGCGAGUGGCGGACGGGUGAGGAAUACAUCGGAAUCUACUUUUUCGUGGGGGAUAAUGUAGGGAAACUUACGCUAAUACCGCAUACGACCUACGGGUGAAAGCAGGGGAUCUUCGGACCUUGCGCGAUUGAAUGAGCCGAUGUCGGAUUAGCUAGUUGGCGGGGUAAAGGCCCACCAAGGCGACGAUCCGUAGCUGGUCUGAGAGGAUGAUCAGCCACACUGGAACUGAGACACGGUCCAGACUCCUACGGGAGGCGGCAGUGGGGAAUAUUGGACAAUGGGCGCAAGCCUGAUCCAGCCAUACCGCGUGGGUGAAGAAGGCCUUCGGGUUGUAAAGCCCUUUUGUUGGGAAAGAAAAGCAGCAGGUUAAUACCCCGCUGUUCUGACGGUACCCAAAGAAUAGGCACCGGCUAACUUCGUG
RNAcentral lists this ribosomal RNA (492 nucleotides) under uncultured bacterium. RNAcentral describes it as "partial 16S ribosomal RNA". It matches the Rfam family "Bacterial small subunit ribosomal RNA", at positions 29 to 507 of the family's 1533-position model. The record is from RNAcentral.